UCCGGGAUACAGAAGGUAGCCACAGGGAGGU
This 31-nucleotide non-coding RNA is filed under the name Homo sapiens (human). Lineage: Eukaryota; Metazoa; Chordata; Mammalia; Primates; Hominidae. The record is from RNAcentral.